AGAAGGCAUCAUGGUAACAACCGGAUCUUACCAAGUGUGUCCAAACAGGCCCAUGUGGGAGCUGCUGAGGUCAUUUGCUGACAGAUGAUUGUGUUGUCAGCGCUGCAUGGUGGAGGGUAAUUGUGUGAUUAUGAUUCUCUGGUAAACCUUGCAUCUGAAGGCAAAAUUCUGGGAGUCAUUUGAGCAGUGGGGAGGAGUAAAAUUAGACUGUAAGGGAGAGCAGCUGAAUGCCUGUGGCCCAUCAACUUUGGGGUUGGGAAGUGUGAGGCACAGAUGGGAGAACUAGUUUAGAGCCACUUGGGAGAGGCAGUUAUGGUAAUGAAACAACACAAGGCAAACUGCCCUUCCUCUGGGCUUUGGAUGGCCUCAAGUUACAGCAAUACAGUGUCGGGCUCCAAAUAUUCCUCUGUUGCUUGGCUGCUGUCUGCCCUCCCUUCAGGUUAGAUAUUCUCGUUCUGGGCAUGUGCCAUACUCAUCACAGAAAGCAGG
RNAcentral lists this long non-coding RNA (489 nucleotides) under Fukomys damarensis (Damara mole-rat). RNAcentral's name for it is "lncRNA (ENSFDAG00000025124.1)". The record is from RNAcentral. Lineage: Eukaryota; Metazoa; Chordata; Mammalia; Rodentia; Bathyergidae.